Molecule: long non-coding RNA, 1195 nt
Filed under: Coturnix japonica (Japanese quail)
Lineage: Eukaryota; Metazoa; Chordata; Aves; Galliformes; Phasianidae
Description: lncRNA (ENSCJPG00005001543.1)
Source: RNAcentral
AUCUGCCCCAUAGCCCCCCAUAUACCCCAUAGCCCCCCGCCUUAUUCUGUCCCCAUAGCCGCCCUAAAUACCCCAUAGCCCCCCCAUCUGCCCCCUAUUACCCCAAAUACCCCAUAGCCCCCUCUUAUCUGCCUCUAUUAGCUCCAUAUACCCCACUACCCCCCCAAAGCUUACCCCCAUAGCCCCCCAUCUGCCCCAUAGCCCCCCCCAAAUACCCCAUAGCCCCCCCAAGCUACCCCCUAUUACCCCCCAUAUAUCCCAUAGCCCCCUAUCUGCCCCAUAGCCCCCCCUAUCUGCCCCAUAGCCCCCUAUCUGCCCCAUAGCCCCCCAUAUACCCCAUAGCCCCCCAUCUGCCCCCUAUUGUGCCCCAUAGACCCUGUUAUUUGCCCCUUACCCCCCCAUCUGCCCCCUAUGUGCCCCAUAGCCCCCUGUAUUUGCCCCAUAGCCCCCAUCUGCCCCAUAGCCCCCCACUUUAACCCAGAGCCAACCCAAUCUCCCCUAUGUGCCCCAUAGCCCCCCCAUAUUACCCAUGUCCCCCUAUUCCUGCCCCCUAUUGCCCCCUCAAAUACCCCACAGACCCCCCCAAAUACCCCAUGCCCCCCAUAUCUACCCCAUAGCCCCCCCAUAUACCCCAUAGCCCCCCCCAUAUACCCCAUAGCCCCUCUUAUCUGCCCCAUAUUACCCCCCAUAUACCCCUAGCCCCCCCAUAUACCCAUAGCCCCCCAGAGGCCCCCUCGAAACCCAUAGCCCCCCCAUCUGCCCCCUAUUGCCCCCCAUACACCCCUAGCCCCCCAUAUCUACCCCAUACCCCCCCAUCCUGCCCCCUAACUGCCCCAUAUCCCCUAUCUGCCCCUAUUUAUCCCCCAUUACGCCCAUAGCCCCCCCAUAUACCCCAUAGCCCCCCAUAGACCCCUCAAAUUACGCCUAGCCCCCCCAUCUUUGCCCCCUAUUGGCCCCCCAUACACCCAUAGCCCCCCAUACUCUCCCAUCUGCCCCCAUCUCCCCCUAACUGGCCCCAACUCCCCCUAUCUGCCCCUAUUACCCCCCAUAUACCCCCCAUAGCCCCCCUAUGUGCCCCAUACCCCCUAUCUGCCUAUAUCCCCCAUCUGCCCCUAUUGCCCCCCAUACACCCCAUACCCCCUACCCCCCCAUCUGCCCCCUAUCUGGCCCAUAGCCCCCCCCUAUUACCCCACUA